This 74-nucleotide transfer RNA is filed under the name Candidatus Altimarinota bacterium. Its description in RNAcentral is "tRNA-Cys". It matches the Rfam family "tRNA". Rfam says of the family: Transfer RNA (tRNA) molecules are approximately 80 nucleotides in length. Lineage: Bacteria; Candidatus Altimarinota. The record is from RNAcentral.
GGUGUCAUGGCAGAGUGGUUAUGCAGGGGUCUGCAACACCCCGUAUAUGGGUUCAAUUCCCAUUGACACCUCCA